RNAcentral lists this ribosomal RNA (470 nucleotides) under uncultured bacterium. RNAcentral's name for it is "bacterial SSU rRNA". It matches the Rfam family "Bacterial small subunit ribosomal RNA", at positions 28 to 507 of the family's 1533-position model. The record is from RNAcentral.
GAUGAACGCUGGCGGCGUGCUUAACACAUGCAAGUCGAACGAAGACAUCUGAGUGCUUGCACUUGGAUGGACUGAGUGGCGGACGGGUGAGUAACGCGUGGGUAACCUGCCUUAUACAGGGGGAUAACAGUUGGAAACGACUGCUAAUACCGCAUAAGCGCACGGUAUCGCAUGAUACAGUGUGAAAAACUCCGGUGGUAUAAGAUGGACCCGCGUCUGAUUAGCUUGUUGGUGAGGUAACGGCCCACCAAGGCGACGAUCAGUAGCCGGCCUGAGAGGGUGAACGGCCACAUUGGGACUGAGACACGGCCCAAACUCCUACGGGGAGGCAGCAGUGGGGAAUAUUGCACAAUGGGGGAAACCCUGAUGCAGCGACGCCGCGUGAGUGAUGAAGUAUUUCGGUAUGUAAAACUCUAUCAGCAGGGAAGAUAAUGACGGUACCUGACUAAGAAGCACCGGCUAAAUACGUG